Molecule: ribosomal RNA, 446 nt
Filed under: uncultured bacterium
Lineage: Bacteria
Description: partial 16S ribosomal RNA
Rfam family: Bacterial small subunit ribosomal RNA
Source: RNAcentral
GUCCAGACUCCUACGGGAGGCAGCAGUGGGGGAUAUUGCACAACGGGGGGAACCCUGAUGCAGCGACGCCGCGUGGGUGAAGAAGCGCCUCGGCGCGUAAAGCCCUGUCAGCAGGGAAGAAAAUGACGGUACCUGAAGAAGAAGCCCCGGCUAACUACGUGCCAGCAGCCGCGGUAAUACGUAGGGGGCAAGCGUUAUCCGGAUUUACUGGGUGUAAAGGGGGCGCAGACGGCGAUGCAAGCCAGGAGUGAAAGCCCGGGGCCCAACCCCGGGACUGCUCUUGGAACUGCGUGGCUGGAGUGCAGGAGGGGCAGGCGGAAUUCCUGGUGUAGCGGUGAAAUGCGUAGAUAUCAGGAGGAACACCGGUGGCGAAGGCGGCCUGCUGGACUGCAACUGACGUUGAGGCCCGAAAGCGUGGGGAGCAAACAGGAUUAGAUACCCCUGUA